Molecule: unclassified non-coding RNA, 385 nt
Filed under: fungal sp.
Lineage: Eukaryota; Fungi
Description: partial internal transcribed spacer region
Rfam family: Eukaryotic small subunit ribosomal RNA (bases 1-46)
Source: RNAcentral
AAGUCGUAACAAGGUUUCCGUAGGUGAACCUGCGGAAGGAUCAUUAACACGUAUCCGACGUUAAACAACCCUGUGAACUUUCAGCCGCUCUUGUAGCCCUCGAGGAACAGCAAUCCCGGUAAAUCAUGGCCGAACAGUUUUGAUUCGGGACCUCUGUCCAAAAGGUAUCAAGUUACAAUUGAAGCGUGGGAGCAGCAAGCGGCUAGUGAAAUGACAUUGUCACUAGUUGUGUAAGGAUUACGCCUCACGGUUGCUAGAGGUCGAUCACCGGCCGGCAGACAUGUCACAGGGCUUUACGCCCACCCCUUGCAAGAAUGCCCCGCUAGAUGGUAACGCGCUAGGUAAAAAAACCGAACAACUGUUAACAAUGGAUAUCUUGGUUCUC